RNAcentral lists this ribosomal RNA (369 nucleotides) under uncultured bacterium. RNAcentral's name for it is "bacterial SSU rRNA". It matches the Rfam family "Bacterial small subunit ribosomal RNA", at positions 527 to 896 of the family's 1533-position model. The record is from RNAcentral.
GUAGGGUGCAAGCGUUAAUCGGAAUUACUGGGCGUAAAGCGUGCGCAGGCGGUUAUGCAAGACAGAGGUGAAAUCCCCGGGCUCAACCUGGGAACUGCCUUUGUGGCUGCAUGGCUAGAGUACGGUAGAGGGGGAUGGAAUUCCGCGUGUAGCAGUGAAAUGCGUAGAUAUGCGGAGGAACACCGAUGGCGAAGGCAAUCCCCUGGACCUGUACUGACGCUCAUGCACGAAAGCGUGGGGAGCAAACAGGAUUAGACACCCUGGUAGUCCACGCCCUAAACGAUGUCAACUGGUUGUUGGGAGGGUUUCUUCUCAGUAACGUAGCUAACGCGUGAAGUUGACCGCCUGGGGAGUACGGCCGCAAGGUUG